AUAGUAUUAACAUUACACAUUACGGUUCUCGUUAGAUCACCGAAGUGAAGCAUCAUUGGGCGCGGUCAGUACUUGGGUGGGUGACCACCUGGGAACACCGCGUGCCGUU
Molecule: ribosomal RNA, 109 nt
Filed under: Caerostris darwini
Lineage: Eukaryota; Metazoa; Arthropoda; Arachnida; Araneae; Araneidae
Source: RNAcentral